Molecule: long non-coding RNA, 392 nt
Filed under: Homo sapiens (human)
Lineage: Eukaryota; Metazoa; Chordata; Mammalia; Primates; Hominidae
Description: HSALNT0292570
Source: RNAcentral
CCUCCUGCCACAGUCCAGGGUAGGAGAUACUUCUCCAGGCUCUCACUUAUGGGGGCUUUCCUGCUGGCUACAUCACUGAAAUGGAAUCUCCUAGUGGCCCUUCUCCCUCUACAGCUCUGGUGUUACACUGAAAAACUAGAAGUUUCAAAACAGACAAGGGAAAAAGAGAAACAUCAGAAAGUCUGAUUAAAGUAGAAGCAUCAUAUUUCUAUCAACGUAUCCACUGUGCUUGGCAGGGGAUGGGCCCUUCUGCUGCAGCAUAAGAGGGGUCAUUCAAUGGCCUGUGUCAGCUACUGGGAUGGACCUGCUGUCCAUGGGAUACUGACACCCACUAGUGAAGCAGAUCUUGCUCUGUCUCUUCUCUGUGUGAGUAAAGUUCUGUUCCAUCCAGU